This 252-nucleotide ribosomal RNA is filed under the name uncultured bacterium. Its description in RNAcentral is "partial 16S ribosomal RNA". It matches the Rfam family "Bacterial small subunit ribosomal RNA", at positions 100 to 354 of the family's 1533-position model. The record is from RNAcentral.
CGGGGUGAGUAACACGUGAGCAACCUGCCUUUCAGUGGGGGACAACAGUUGGAAACGACUGCUAAUACCGCAUAACGUGCCGGAAGGGCAUCCUUUUGGUACCAAAGAUUUAUCGCUGAAAGAUGGGCUCGCGUCUGAUUAGAUAGUUGGUGAGGUAACGGCCCACCAAGUCGACGAUCAGUAGCCGGACUGAGAGGUUGAUCGGCCACAUUGGGACUGAGACACGGCCCAGACUCCUACGGGAGGCAGCAG